RNAcentral lists this ribosomal RNA (253 nucleotides) under uncultured bacterium. RNAcentral's name for it is "partial 16S ribosomal RNA". It matches the Rfam family "Bacterial small subunit ribosomal RNA", at positions 524 to 776 of the family's 1533-position model. The record is from RNAcentral.
UACGUAGGUGGCGAGCGUUGUCCGGAUUUAUUGGGUUUAAAGGGUGCGUAGGCGGUCCUAUAAGUCAGUGGUGAAAUAUCGCAGCUCAACUGUGAGGGUGCCAUUGAUACUGUAGGACUUGAGUGAAUUUGAGGUAGGCGGAAUUGACGGUGUAGCGGUGAAAUGCUUAGAUAUCGUCAAGAACACCGAUAGUGAAGACAGCUUACCAAGCUUCAACUGACGCUGAGGCACGAAAGUGUGGGGAGCAAACAGG